UACGAAGGGUGCAAGCGUUACUCGGAAUUACUGGGCGUAAAGCGUGCGUAGGUGGUUGAGUUAAGUCUGUCGUGAAAGCCCCGGGCUCAACCUGGGAAUGGCGAUGGAUACUGGCUCGCUAGAGUGCGGUAGAGGAGAGUGGAAUUCCUGGUGUAGCAGUGAAAUGCGUAGAGAGUCGGGAGGAACAUCAGUUGCGAAGGGCGGCUCUCGUGGACCAGCACGUGACACUGAGGCACGAAAGCGUGGGGAGCAAACAGG
RNAcentral lists this ribosomal RNA (258 nucleotides) under uncultured bacterium. RNAcentral's name for it is "partial 16S ribosomal RNA". It matches the Rfam family "Bacterial small subunit ribosomal RNA", at positions 524 to 776 of the family's 1533-position model. The record is from RNAcentral.